UACGUAGGGGGCAAGCGUUGUCCGGAUUUAUUGGGCGUAAAGAGCUCGUAGGCGGUUCCGUAAGUCGAGUGUGAAAAAUCUGGGCUCAACCCAGUGGAGCACUCGAUACUGCGGUGACUAGAGUACGGUAGAGGAGUGUGGAAUUCCUGGUGUAGCGGUGAAAUGCGCAGAUAUCAGGAAGAACACCGGUGGCGAAGGCGGCUCUCUGGGCCUUACCUGACGCUGAGGAGCGAAAGCGUGGGUAGCGAACAGG
RNAcentral lists this ribosomal RNA (253 nucleotides) under uncultured bacterium. RNAcentral describes it as "partial 16S ribosomal RNA". It matches the Rfam family "Bacterial small subunit ribosomal RNA", at positions 524 to 776 of the family's 1533-position model. The record is from RNAcentral.